Molecule: long non-coding RNA, 1090 nt
Organism: Triticum dicoccoides
Lineage: Eukaryota; Viridiplantae; Streptophyta; Magnoliopsida; Poales; Poaceae
Exons: 3
Source: RefSeq, a predicted model, not a curated record
UCUCGAACCCCUCCUCUCACGCCGCCUCCGGAUGCAAGCCACCGCCACCAACGGCAUGCGCCCUACCGCCGUCACCCCCAUCGCCUCGCCGCCAUCACCCCCAGGGCCAGCCAUCAACUCCAGCCACGCCCCUGCGAAGCAACCACCGGAUCUAGGGGGUCUGGUUCGACCUCCCUCAUCCGCCCCUGCCCCCUCGGUAGCUACACCAACGACAAUACAUCCGCCCGAGCUCUCCGUGCCUCGCUGGUGGCCAUCCUCUUCCUAUCGGGUCGCCUCCCCUCGAUCCCGGCGAGGCUAAGGUGCUCUCCCCUUUACUUCGACGUUGCAUCAAGAUAGGCCAGGAAGCUCGCCGGCGCCUACUCUCUCCCCAUCUCCCACGAGGUCCUAGUCACUCGUUGCUCGCAAGGGAUGCGGUCCACUAUGUUGAGGUAGUGCAGUACGUUCGGCGUGUAGAGCCCUCCUCCCUCCUCUCUGGCUCGGCCCUCGGCCUCCUGUUGGUCACCACGGCCGGAUCCGUUGCGGCCCUUCCUUGCCUCGCCGCCAUGCGUCAAUCCCGCGGCUUCAGCUAUGACCAUCUACCUCCGCUCGAUGAACUGCAUCGCCGCUGGUGUUGCUGCUCACAUCAGUGUUACUCCAAAAAGAUGAGGUUCAGUUUCCUUGCAUUCUGACGACCACGCCGACGUGUGUGUGCGCGAGUGCAGCUUGCAAAAAGCCCCCAAAAUCAACUAAGUUGUGUGCCGUUCCCAGUUUUCAGAUGGGUGCUACUACCUUCUGCACUGCGUCUUUGAUCCACUGUGGAGGCAAAAAACAAGAAAGGAAACAUUCUUGUUUAGAAGACCACUUGUGAAUUUGAUGUGUUCAAGGGCGAGUUGUACACAUUUGUGCCAUAGAGGGAAACUAGUACUUGUGAACAAAAGUGAACUCGGGCACAGAUGUCCAAGCAGUUUGGGUGUGUAGUUUUUUUUGUGUCUGGAUGCAUUAUUUUUUGACACAUUUCACUCCCUUGCCAUGUGCAGUAAGAGACUACAAAAUAAAAUGCAGUGCACUCUGGUCUACAGUACACCAUUUUUAAAAAUGUAUUUAAAAAGUG